CAGACGGCUCAGUAACACGUGGUCAAGCUAACCUAUGGACGUGGAUAACCUCGGGAAACUGAGAAUAAACCGCGAUAGAUCAUGGUGCCUGGAAUGGCCCAUGGUCGAAAUAGUUUACUGCCGUAGGAUGCGACUGCGGCCUAUCAGUUUGUUGGUGAGGUAAUGGCCCACCAAGACUAUUACAGGUACGGGCUCUGAGAGGAGAAGCCCGGAGAUGGGUACUGAGACACGGACCCAGGCCCUAUGGGGCGCAGCAGGCGAGAAACCUUAGCAAUGUGCGAAAGCACGACUGGGUCAGUCCGAGUGAUUUCUGAUAAAGGAAUCUUUUGCCCGUCCUAAAAGCGCAGGCAAAUAAGGGGUGGACUAAUCUGUGGGCAACUCUGGCGGCAGUAGCCGCAGAAAUACUAGGCCCUCGAGUGGUCGGGACGAUAAGGGGGGCUAAAGGAUCCGGAGAUGGUCUUGCAAGUCGCCGGGUAAAUCCACCAGGUAGACGGAUGAUCCGCUGGAGAGCGACGAGAGUGGCGAAUAGGAGAGCCAGACGGUAUACNAGGGGAAGG
This 557-nucleotide ribosomal RNA is filed under the name uncultured archaeon. Its description in RNAcentral is "bacterial SSU rRNA". It matches the Rfam family "Archaeal small subunit ribosomal RNA", at positions 82 to 630 of the family's 1478-position model. The record is from RNAcentral.